This 1563-nucleotide ribosomal RNA is filed under the name Enterococcus hirae ATCC 9790. RNAcentral describes it as "bacterial SSU rRNA". It matches the Rfam family "Bacterial small subunit ribosomal RNA". Lineage: Bacteria; Bacillati; Bacillota; Bacilli; Lactobacillales; Enterococcaceae. The record is from RNAcentral.
UGAGAGUUUGAUCCUGGCUCAGGACGAACGCUGGCGGCGUGCCUAAUACAUGCAAGUCGAACGCUUCUUUUUCCACCGGAGCUUGCUCCACCGGAAAAAGAGGAGUGGCGAACGGGUGAGUAACACGUGGGUAACCUGCCCAUCAGAAGGGGAUAACACUUGGAAACAGGUGCUAAUACCGUAUAACAAUCGAAACCGCAUGGUUUCGAUUUGAAAGGCGCUUUCGGGUGUCGCUGAUGGAUGGACCCGCGGUGCAUUAGCUAGUUGGUGAGGUAACGGCUCACCAAGGCGACGAUGCAUAGCCGACCUGAGAGGGUGAUCGGCCACAUUGGGACUGAGACACGGCCCAAACUCCUACGGGAGGCAGCAGUAGGGAAUCUUCGGCAAUGGACGAAAGUCUGACCGAGCAACGCCGCGUGAGUGAAGAAGGUUUUCGGAUCGUAAAACUCUGUUGUUAGAGAAGAACAAGGAUGAGAGUAACUGUUCAUCCCUUGACGGUAUCUAACCAGAAAGCCACGGCUAACUACGUGCCAGCAGCCGCGGUAAUACGUAGGUGGCAAGCGUUGUCCGGAUUUAUUGGGCGUAAAGCGAGCGCAGGCGGUUUCUUAAGUCUGAUGUGAAAGCCCCCGGCUCAACCGGGGAGGGUCAUUGGAAACUGGGAGACUUGAGUGCAGAAGAGGAGAGUGGAAUUCCAUGUGUAGCGGUGAAAUGCGUAGAUAUAUGGAGGAACACCAGUGGCGAAGGCGGCUCUCUGGUCUGUAACUGACGCUGAGGCUCGAAAGCGUGGGGAGCAAACAGGAUUAGAUACCCUGGUAGUCCACGCCGUAAACGAUGAGUGCUAAGUGUUGGAGGGUUUCCGCCCUUCAGUGCUGCAGCUAACGCAUUAAGCACUCCGCCUGGGGAGUACGACCGCAAGGUUGAAACUCAAAGGAAUUGACGGGGGCCCGCACAAGCGGUGGAGCAUGUGGUUUAAUUCGAAGCAACGCGAAGAACCUUACCAGGUCUUGACAUCCUUUGACCACUCUAGAGAUAGAGCUUCCCCUUCGGGGGCAAAGUGACAGGUGGUGCAUGGUUGUCGUCAGCUCGUGUCGUGAGAUGUUGGGUUAAGUCCCGCAACGAGCGCAACCCUUAUUGUUAGUUGCCAUCAUUUAGUUGGGCACUCUAGCAAGACUGCCGGUGACAAACCGGAGGAAGGUGGGGAUGACGUCAAAUCAUCAUGCCCCUUAUGACCUGGGCUACACACGUGCUACAAUGGGAAGUACAACGAGUCGCAAAGUCGCGAGGCUAAGCUAAUCUCUUAAAGCUUCUCUCAGUUCGGAUUGUAGGCUGCAACUCGCCUACAUGAAGCCGGAAUCGCUAGUAAUCGCGGAUCAGCACGCCGCGGUGAAUACGUUCCCGGGCCUUGUACACACCGCCCGUCACACCACGAGAGUUUGUAACACCCGAAGUCGGUGAGGUAACCUUUUGGAGCCAGCCGCCUAAGGUGGGAUAGAUGAUUGGGGUGAAGUCGUAACAAGGUAGCCGUAUCGGAAGGUGCGGCUGGAUCACCUCCUUUCUAAGGAA